AAAUUGAAGAGUUUGAUCAUGGCUCAGAUUGAACGCUGGCGGCAGGCCUAACACAUGCAAGUCGAACGGUAACAGGAAGAAGCUUGCUUCUUUGCUGACGAGUGGCGGACGGGUGAGUAAUGUCUGGGAAACUGCCUGAUGGAGGGGGAUAACUACUGGAAACGGUAGCUAAUACCGCAUAACGUCGCAAGACCAAAGAGGGGGACCUUCGGGCCUCUUGCCAUCGGAUGUGCCCAGAUGGGAUUAGCUAGUAGGUGGGGUAACGGCUCACCUAGGCGACGAUCCCUAGCUGGUCUGAGAGGAUGACCAGCCACACUGGAACUGAGACACGGUCCAGACUCCUACGGGA
Molecule: ribosomal RNA, 349 nt
Filed under: Escherichia coli O157:H7 str. G5101
Lineage: Bacteria; Pseudomonadati; Pseudomonadota; Gammaproteobacteria; Enterobacterales; Enterobacteriaceae
Description: bacterial SSU rRNA
Rfam family: Bacterial small subunit ribosomal RNA
Source: RNAcentral